Long non-coding RNA from Daphnia pulex (common water flea), 528 nucleotides. RefSeq lists it as uncharacterized. The transcript is spliced from 3 exons. The record is from RefSeq and is a predicted model, not a curated record. Lineage: Eukaryota; Metazoa; Arthropoda; Branchiopoda; Diplostraca; Daphniidae.
AGUUAACAAUCCUCCGCUAGGGGGACUAUCCUCGAUUAUGCACAACGACUCUCAAUCGUUGUCAUCGUCUUUCUGACGUUCUAUUACGUGUGUGUGUCUUCUCUUUCUUAUGGUGAACACUUUGUUCGUUCAGCAUCCCACCUAGAUUAUUAUCUUACAAGUGUCUCUGUAUUCUGUGCUAGUGGACUGCGAUCAAAGGUUAUGGGCCCAGAGACGCAAGUCGACUCAUAUCAAGAUGGAAUCAAAUCCCUCGACAAGAGAAGGAGGCAUUAAGACAGAAAGGUUCAACGGAAAGAACUUUGCCAUUUGGAAAUAUAGCAUCCAACUGCGACUCCAAGAGCAUGAUCUCAAAACCAUAGUUAAUGGAUCAAGAGCUAAGCCUGCUGAGGUCAAAGAAGGCACUGUGGUCACGAACAAAGCCCUUAUUGACAAGUGGAUGAAGGACGACAACUUGGCAAAGUACUUUUUGUUCAACACCUGUCACGAAGAGCAACAAAGAUCUCUUUUGACAUGUGACACAGCAAGAGA